GAUGAACGCUAGCUACAGGCUUAACACAUGCAAGUCGAGGGACCGGCGCGCGGGUGAGUAACACGUAUCCAACCUGCCCUUUACUCGGGGAUAGCCUUUCGAAGGAAAGAUUAAUACCCGAUAUAAAGGAUGGGGAUGCGUUGCAUUAGGUUGUUGGUGAGGUAACGGCUCACCAAGCCGUCGAUGGGUAGGGGUUCUGAGAGGAAGGUCACCGACAGUGGAACUGCGGCCCGGUGCACACGCCUACGGGGGGCAGCAGUAAGGAAUAUUAGUGAAUGGGCGCUAGCCUGAACCAGCCAAGUAGCGUGAAGGAUGAAGGCUUAUGGGUCGUAAACUUCUUUUAUAUAAGAAUAUGUAUUAUAUGAAGAAGGAUCGGCUAACUCCGUGCCAGCAGCCGCGGUAAUAC
RNAcentral lists this ribosomal RNA (406 nucleotides) under uncultured bacterium. Its description in RNAcentral is "partial 16S ribosomal RNA". It matches the Rfam family "Bacterial small subunit ribosomal RNA", at positions 28 to 526 of the family's 1533-position model. The record is from RNAcentral.